This 225-nucleotide unclassified non-coding RNA is filed under the name Hevea brasiliensis (rubber tree). The record is from RNAcentral. Lineage: Eukaryota; Viridiplantae; Streptophyta; Magnoliopsida; Malpighiales; Euphorbiaceae.
AAGAAAAUUAACCCAUAAUCAUGAUAAGGAGUCACUGUAAAGGUUACUUCUCUCAGUUUAAUGCUCUUUCAAAAUCCUCUUAUGAGUCUCAAAAUUCCUUUGUUCUAUGUACAAAAAAAGGAGACAUACAAGGAAAUAUUUGGUAGAUGAGAAUUUGAAGGCUGAAGCUGAGAGAAUGUAAUUGAACAUAAUUUAUUUUAUUUCAACAUAUUUUCUCAAAAAGAA